Molecule: ribosomal RNA, 580 nt
Filed under: Inocybe argenteolutea
Lineage: Eukaryota; Fungi; Basidiomycota; Agaricomycetes; Agaricales; Inocybaceae
Description: eukaryotic LSU rRNA
Rfam family: 5.8S ribosomal RNA (bases 255-408)
Source: RNAcentral
UGAAUAAACCUGCAGGCUGUUUUGCUGGUCCUCUGCCAGAGGGCAUGUGCACGCUUGUCAUCUUUAUUUCUUCCACUGUGCAUGUAUUGUAGACCUUGGUAGUUUUGGGAAUUGUUCGAGUAGAAUCGAAUAGAUUGAGGACUGCUGUGCUUCAGCUUUACCUUGUAUUUCCAGGUCUAUGUUAUUUUAUCAUUAAAACCCUAUGUUUGAGAAUGUUGAAAUUGGGUCUUUUGUACCUAUAAAGUUAAAUAUACAACUUUCAGCAACGGAUCUCUUGGCUCUCGCAUCGAUGAAGAACGCAGCGAAAUGCGAUAAGUAAUGUGAAUUGCAGAAUUCAGUGAAUCAUCGAAUCUUUGAACGCAUCUUGCGCUCCUUGGUAUUCCGAGGAGCAUGCCUGUUUGAGUGUCAUUAAGCUCUCAACUGCACUAGUUUUGUCUAGCUGUAGCUUGGAUGUGGGGGUUUUGUCUUUUGCAGGCUUUGGAUAAUGAAGUCGGCUCCCCUGAAAUGUAUUAGUGGUCUCUGAGCAGAGAAAAUGGUGUGAUAAAUUAUCUAUGCCUUAGUACUUUGCAUGAACAGAUUG